Molecule: long non-coding RNA, 360 nt
Organism: Acanthopagrus latus (yellowfin seabream)
Lineage: Eukaryota; Metazoa; Chordata; Actinopteri; Spariformes; Sparidae
Exons: 2
Source: RefSeq, a predicted model, not a curated record
GGAGAGAAACAAGAAGCGACAUUAAUCACUGCGGUGGAUCCACGGCCAAGAGUCCGGUGAUAGAGCCGCAACACUGGGUUUCCUCCGCAUUGCUGCCGGUGAGACCAGCAGGUUGGAGAGGAGAAAGCAGCGACUGAAGCAGGUGUAUUAGAAUCGUCCAAAGUAAAGAUGAUGUCAUCUGAUGUAAUGAAUCAUCAUCAUCAUCAUCAUCAUCAUCAUCAUCAUCAUCACACAGUGACACACAAACAUGCAGCACACCUCUGUCAGUGUGCUGCAGAUAACUGAGCUGUAGCUGGUAGUUAUUUAAUCAAUUACUUGAUUGGCAUAAAAACACAUUUGAAAUAAAACCAUUAAGCUUCA